AUUUCGAGCUUCUGCUUUUUACAUAACUGACAGCUUUUUCAAAUCUAGCUGUUGUUGAUAAGUGUACUAUGAUGUAUCUUUGCUCUGCCUGGUUCCCUUAUGAUAUUAAUCUUUUAUGUGCUUCCCCUUGUGUCCUUGCUGGGCAGGACAUUGGCAAAAAGAUCCAAGGGGGUUGGAUCUUGAUUCACCAGGAGUUGGUGAAGGUCUCUCAAGGCUACCCAGGGAAGGGAAUUAGCUUUGGGAUGGUGUCAGUGGACCAGAUCUAAGCUGGUAGUUGAGCUUAGAAGUUUUCAUGCAGGCCCCCACAUUUGUACCCUAAAGUUCAGAGUGGGGAAGCAGCCUUGACAAAAGGGAAGGAGGAUAAUCUGGGGAACUACAGACUGGUCAGCGUCACCUCAGUCCCUGGAAAAAUCAUGGAGCAGGUCCUCAAGGAAUCCAUUUUGAAGCACAUGGAGGAGAGGAAGGUGAGGAAGGAACAGUCAUCAUGGAUUCACCAAGGGUUUGCAUAGGCACUGACUCCGUGGGUGCUCCAAGGCUGGGACAGAGUCGGGGGGUCCAGCAUGCUCCCCCACCACCUCGGAAAUUACAAAGUCAGCACCUAGGCUUGCAUCACCAAAUACCAACUUGACUUCCAGGCACCAAUGUAGCAAUGCACUUUUACAUCACUAUGAAUGCAGCAGAAGGUAUCAGAUACAAGGUAUCAGACUAAGAAAACAGUUUGGAGAACUAAGAAAUCUAAAGGCAGCAUGUGCAUGGUGAGGCUCGAGGAAACAACUAAAUCCACAGAUGCGGUAGGUGACUGGAGAGUUCUAGAGGCAUAACAGACCACAGCUCCAUCAAUAAUGAAGGAUGCAAGGAACAAGAAUCAGUCAAUAUGGCUUACCAUGGCCUGACUCAAAGAUGCGAAGGUUAUAACUGACUCUCCACAUUCUUGUUUGACUUUAAGGAUCCUUCUGCAAUAACUUCUAUGAAUUUAACAGAAAAUAAGAACCUGCCUAUACCUUAGCCAAUGUCAGGAUCCUAAUAAGGACAGUCAGGACCAAGGGUCAGAGCCAGGUCAAAGCCGAGGGUGGGAGUAGCAGAGGAGUUGAGCAUCAGGUUCCAGGCCAGGGUCAAUACCAAUGGUCAAAGUCCAAGUCUGGUUUCAAGAUCUUGGGUAGGGGGCAAAGUCCAAAUAAGCCAAGAUCAAAGCCAGGAAUUUGCAAGCAGGAAAGGCAAUAGCAACUACAGGAAAUCCAUCCCUUGUGUUUAUACAAGGCAGGGAGCUAAUCAGGAGCUGUGAGACGGCUGCCUUGAGGUAGAAUCCCUUGAGGUAGAACUUCCCAUAGUCUGUGUCCACAGCAGGUCAUGGAAAGUAGCACACAAGCUGGUUAUGGAUGGCAGCCUGGAGAUACUAGCUGCCUGGCAGCUCUACAGGCCUGGGUUCUAGACCUGCAGGACCUUGCAGCUCAAUCUUUCA
Molecule: long non-coding RNA, 1459 nt
Organism: Malaclemys terrapin pileata
Lineage: Eukaryota; Metazoa; Chordata; Testudines; Emydidae
Exons: 4
Source: RefSeq, a predicted model, not a curated record